AGACGUCUACAUUAGAUACCCCCGUAGUCCCAGCCGUAAACGAUGCGCGUUAGGUGUAUCGACGACCACGAGUCGUCGAGGUGCCGAAGGGAAACCGUGAAACGUGCCGCCUGGGAAGUACGGUCGCAAGGCUGAAACUUAAAGGAAUUGGCGGGGAGCACCACAACAGGUGGAGCCUGCGGUUUAAUUGGACUCAACGCCGGAAGUCUCACCGGAUAAGACAGCAGAAUGAUUGCCGGGCUGAAGACUCUGCAUGACUAGCUG
RNAcentral lists this ribosomal RNA (264 nucleotides) under uncultured archaeon. RNAcentral's name for it is "partial 16S ribosomal RNA". It matches the Rfam family "Archaeal small subunit ribosomal RNA", at positions 714 to 982 of the family's 1478-position model. The record is from RNAcentral.